Molecule: small RNA, 411 nt
Filed under: Pongo abelii (Sumatran orangutan)
Lineage: Eukaryota; Metazoa; Chordata; Mammalia; Primates; Hominidae
Description: processed transcript
Source: RNAcentral
AAAAAAAAAAAAAAUCUGAGAGUUUUUUUAAAAAUGAGGAUCAUGGAGGGCUAAAUAAGAUGGGUGGAGCUGAGAUUACAGCUGACGGAAUGGGGAUUAGACCCAAGUACCAGAUAAAUCGAGAAACUAGAGAAGUGAAUGAAGGAAGUUACAGUACAGAAAACAGUUCCACUUGACCUUCACACAUAAAGGUGGAAGAAGAAAUAGGAUGAUCUCAUGUUGUUUUUCAGGCUACGGAAAAACCUGCGAGCCCUAGUGGUUGUCCAUGCUACAUGGUAUGUGAAAGCAUUUCUGGCACUGCUUCGGCCCUUCAUCAGUUCCAAAUUCACACGAAAAAUCCGUUUUCUGGACAGCCUGGGGGAGCUGGCCCAACUCAUAUCCCUGGAUCAAGUCCACAUCCCUGAAGCUGUC